This 253-nucleotide ribosomal RNA is filed under the name uncultured bacterium. RNAcentral describes it as "partial 16S ribosomal RNA". It matches the Rfam family "Bacterial small subunit ribosomal RNA", at positions 524 to 776 of the family's 1533-position model. The record is from RNAcentral.
UACGUAGGGUGCGAGCGUUGUCCGGAAUUAUUGGGCGUAAAGAGCUCGUAGGCGGUUUGUCGCGUCGGCCGUGAAAACUUGGGGCUUAACUCCAAGCUUGCGGUCGAUACGGGCAGACUUGAGUUCGGCAGGGGAGACUGGAAUUCCUGGUGUAGCGGUGAAAUGCGCAGAUAUCAGGAGGAACACCAGUGGCGAAGGCGGUUCUCUGGGCAUUACCUGACGCUGAGGAGCGAAAGUGUGGGGAGCGAACAGG